GACGAACGCUGGCGGCGUGCCUAAUACAUGCAAGUCGAACGCACAGUUUAUACCGUAGCUUGCUACACCAUAGACUGUGAGUUGCGAACGGGUGAGUAACGCGUAGGUAACCUGCCUGGUAGCGGGGGAUAACUAUUGGAAACGAUAGCUAAUACCGCAUAAUAUUAAUUAUUGCAUGAUAAUUAAUUGAAAGGUUCAAUUUCACCACUACCAGAUGGACCUGAGUUGUAUUAGCUAGUAGGGGAGGUAACGGCUCACCUAGGCGACGAUACAUAGCCGACCUGAGAGGGUGAUCGGCCACACUGGGACUGAGACACGGCCCAGAAUCCUACGGGAGGCAGCAGUAGGGAAUCUUCGGCAAUGGACGAAAGUCUGACCGAGCACCGCCGCGUGAGUGAAGAAGGUUUUCGGAUCGUAAAGCUCCGUUGUAAGAGAAGAAAGGGUGUGAGAGUGGAAAGUUCACACUGUGACGGUAUCUUAACAGAAAGGGACGGCUAACUACGUG
Molecule: ribosomal RNA, 505 nt
Filed under: uncultured bacterium
Lineage: Bacteria
Description: partial 16S ribosomal RNA
Rfam family: Bacterial small subunit ribosomal RNA
Source: RNAcentral